CGUAUGCAACCUACCUAUAACUGGGGGAUAGCUCAGAGAAAUCUGAAUUAAUACCGCAUAACAUUGUUGAUUGGCAUCAAUUAACAAUUAAAACUCCGGUGGUUAUAGAUGGGCAUGCGUGACAUUAGCUAGUUGGUAAGGUAAUGGCUUACCAAGGCUACGAUGUCUAGGGGGUCUGAGAGGAUGAUCCCCCACACUGGUACUGAGACACGGACCAG
This 218-nucleotide ribosomal RNA is filed under the name uncultured bacterium. Its description in RNAcentral is "partial 16S ribosomal RNA". It matches the Rfam family "Bacterial small subunit ribosomal RNA", at positions 116 to 334 of the family's 1533-position model. The record is from RNAcentral.